This 370-nucleotide ribosomal RNA is filed under the name uncultured organism. Its description in RNAcentral is "bacterial SSU rRNA". It matches the Rfam family "Bacterial small subunit ribosomal RNA", at positions 526 to 896 of the family's 1533-position model. The record is from RNAcentral.
CGUAGGCAGCAAGCGUUGUUCGGAAUUACUGGGCGUAAAGGGCGCGUAGGCGGCUUUUUAAGUUUGGUGUGAAAUCUCCCGGCUCAACGUGGGAGGUGCGCCGAAUACUGAGAAGCUAGAGUGUGGGAGAGGAAAGUGGAAUUCCUGGUGUAGCGGUGAAAUGCGUAGAUAUCAGGAGGAACACCGGUGGUGUAAACGGCUUUCUGGACCAUAACUGACGCUGAUGCACGAAAGCGUGGGUAGCAAACAGGAUUAGAUACCCUGGUAGUCCACGCCCUAAACGAUGCAUAUUUGGUGUGGGCCAUUCAUUUGGUCCGUGCCGGAGCUAACGCGUUAAAUAUGCCGCCUGGGGAGUACAGUCGCAAGGCUG